GCUUGCUGUUUCUGCUGACGAGUGGCGGACGGGUGAGUAAUGUCUGGGAAACUGCCUGAUGGAGGGGGAUAACUACUGGAAACGGUAGCUAAUACCGCAUAACGUCGCAAGACCAAAGAGGGGGACCUUCGGGCCUCUUGCCAUCGGAUGUGCCCAGAUGGGAUUAGCUAGUAGGUGGGGUAAAGGCUCACCUAGGCGACGAUCCCUAGCUGGUCUGAGAGGAUGACCAGCCACACUGGAACUGAGACACGGUCCAGACUCCUACGGGAGGCAGCAGUGGGGAAUAUUGCACAAUGGGCGCAAGCCUGAUGCAGCCAUGCCGCGUGUAUGAAGAAGGCCUUCGGGUUGUAAAGUACUUUCAGCGGGGAGGAAGGGAGUAAAGUUAAUACCUUUGCUCAUUGACGUUACCCGCAGAAGAAGCACCGGCUAACUCCGUGCCAGCAGCCGCGGUAAUACGGAGGGUGCAAGCGUUAAUCGGAAUUACUGGGCGUAAAGCGCACGCAGGCGGUUUGUUAAGUCAGAUGUGAAAUCCCCGGGCUCAACCUGGGAACUGCAUCUGAUACUGGCAAGCUUGAGUCUCGUAGAGGGGGGUAGAAUUCCAGGUGUAGCGGUGAAAUGCGUAGAGAUCUGGAGGAAUACCGGUGGCGAAGGCGGCCCCCUGGACGAAGACUGACGCUCAGGUGCGAAAGCGUGGGGAGCA
Molecule: ribosomal RNA, 700 nt
Filed under: Shigella flexneri
Lineage: Bacteria; Pseudomonadati; Pseudomonadota; Gammaproteobacteria; Enterobacterales; Enterobacteriaceae
Description: bacterial SSU rRNA
Rfam family: Bacterial small subunit ribosomal RNA
Source: RNAcentral